CAGCGCGGUAAUUCCAGCUCCAAUAGCGUAUAUUAAAGUUGUUGCAGUUAAAAAGCUCGUAGUUGAACUUCGGGGUUUACUUAUUGGUCAGGCUUAAUUGUCUGUACUGUUGAGAUGAAUCUCUACCUUCUGAGGAACUUUCAUGCCAUUUAUUUGGUGUGAUGGGAAAUCAGGACUGUUACUUUGAAAAAAUUAGAGUGUUUAAAGCAGGCUAACGUCUGAAUACAUUAGCAUGGAAUAAUGAAAUAGGACGGACUGAUUCUAUUUCGUUGGUUUCUAGGAUCACCGUAAUGAUUAAUAGGGAUAGUUGGGGGCAGUAGUAUUCAAUUGUCAGAGGUGAAAUUCUUGGAUUUAUUGAAGAAGAACUACUGCGAAAGCAUUUGCCAAGGAUGUUUUCAUUAAUCAAGAACGAAAGUUAGGGGAUCGAAGACGAUCAGAUACCGUCGUAGUCUUAACCAUAAACUAUGCCGACUAGGGAUCGGACGAAGUUAAUUUUAUAAUGACGCGUUCGGCACCUUACG
RNAcentral lists this ribosomal RNA (521 nucleotides) under uncultured Diversispora. RNAcentral describes it as "SSU rRNA". It matches the Rfam family "Eukaryotic small subunit ribosomal RNA", at positions 571 to 1092 of the family's 1831-position model. The record is from RNAcentral. Lineage: Eukaryota; Fungi; Glomeromycota; Glomeromycetes; Diversisporales; Diversisporaceae.